UGCGGGGUAGAGCAGAGGCAGCUCGUCGGGCUCAUAACCCGGAGGUCACAGGUUCGAAUCCUGUCCCCGCGACCA
RNAcentral lists this transfer RNA (75 nucleotides) under Promineifilum sp. (SeqCode). RNAcentral describes it as "tRNA-Met". It matches the Rfam family "tRNA". Rfam says of the family: Transfer RNA (tRNA) molecules are approximately 80 nucleotides in length. Their secondary structure includes four short double-helical elements and three loops (D, anti-codon, and T loops). Further hydrogen bonds mediate the characteristic L-shaped molecular structure. tRNAs have two regions of fundamental functional importance: the anti-codon, which is responsible for specific mRNA codon recognition, and the 3' end, to which the tRNAs corresponding amino acid is attached (by aminoacyl-tRNA synthetases). tRNAs cope with the degeneracy of the genetic code in two manners: having more than one tRNA (with a specific anti-codon) for a particular amino acid; and 'wobble' base-pairing, i.e. permitting non-standard base-pairing at the 3rd anti-codon position. Lineage: Bacteria; Bacillati; Chloroflexota; Ardenticatenia; Promineifilales (SeqCode); Promineifilaceae (SeqCode). The record is from RNAcentral.